RNAcentral lists this transfer RNA (73 nucleotides) under Puccinia graminis f. sp. tritici CRL 75-36-700-3. RNAcentral describes it as "tRNA-iMet (CAT) (tRNA-iMet-CAT-2 1 to 4)". It matches the Rfam family "tRNA". Rfam says of the family: Transfer RNA (tRNA) molecules are approximately 80 nucleotides in length. Their secondary structure includes four short double-helical elements and three loops (D, anti-codon, and T loops). Further hydrogen bonds mediate the characteristic L-shaped molecular structure. tRNAs have two regions of fundamental functional importance: the anti-codon, which is responsible for specific mRNA codon recognition, and the 3' end, to which the tRNAs corresponding amino acid is attached (by aminoacyl-tRNA synthetases). tRNAs cope with the degeneracy of the genetic code in two manners: having more than one tRNA (with a specific anti-codon) for a particular amino acid; and 'wobble' base-pairing, i.e. permitting non-standard base-pairing at the 3rd anti-codon position. Lineage: Eukaryota; Fungi; Basidiomycota; Pucciniomycetes; Pucciniales; Pucciniaceae. The record is from RNAcentral. RNAcentral also lists the same sequence under 3 other names.
AGCGAGAUGGCGCAGCUGGUAGCGCGCUGGGCUCAUAACCCAGAGGUCGUCGGAUCGAAACUGACUCUCGCUA